RNAcentral lists this long non-coding RNA (1258 nucleotides) under Hordeum vulgare. RNAcentral describes it as "long non-coding RNA (HVUL_LNC020021)". Lineage: Eukaryota; Viridiplantae; Streptophyta; Magnoliopsida; Poales; Poaceae. The record is from RNAcentral.
UUUGAAUCACGAAUUUUGUAUGUGAAAAGCUCCGUCCUCACUCUUUGUCGACAUCUACUUGAGCUCCACAUCGUCAUCGAAGUGCAAGUAGAGAUGCAAACAUAUGAACUUUCAUACAAAUAGAGUGAAACUUCACACCGAUUGGUCAUAUAGUUACCACAAGACCAUCAUGAGAGUUUUGCUUAUAUUAUCUCUACAAACAACAUGAAGGAACAAAAGAGACACACAUUGAUGCCAGUGUGAGCAGACUCCUCCCUGGACCACAGCCCGUACCCCCCUCGCGUCACUCCUGUGGCGACCGAAAGAUCAUCACACCCCAUAACCUAUUACACGAGUAGUUGUUUGAUUUAUGUCUCACAUUAAACAGAUAAAAUGUUUCUGUUCACAUGAGCAAACGGCUAGAAUAAACCUCAUUAAAAUAGCAUGAGUGAUUUAUUCAAGGGCAAAUAGUAGCUAAAACAAAUACCACUGGCGGAAGAACAAGAAAUAAGGAAAUGGAGAGAUUAUACUUGUGAGUGCACGAAAGAUUAUUUCAAAGGAAGUACUUUCUUUUAGCCAAUCGCUCAAAGCAAAAGAUUAGUGCAAUGGGUAAGAAGUACACAGCUUCACAGAAUAUCUAGUUUUUGUUAAUCAUGUGCUCUACAAAUUUCUGAAAUGUGCCACUAUAAUUGUACAAAAAUCUUGCUUUUGAAAUCUGCCACUGUAAUUGUACAAAAAUCUUGCCAUUGAAAUCUGCCAAACUGUCCACAUAAGUUCUUCACUUCGGUCAUAACCCAAUUGAUGAAAAUAAGAAACCCUGCUAGUUGCAUAUCUUUUAAGGCAAGAAAAUAAUUAAUAAUUACACCUCUCUGUAGUCAGUAUUUUCAUCCAAUUGGGUUUCUGCACCAGUGUCUACUCAUUCACAAUAUACAUACAAAUUUAGAUAGCAGAACAUUGUAGAUCAGUAGGAAAUUUUCAUGGUAAAAUUCAUGUCAACAAAAAGAACAUGCAUAGAGCCAUAGUGAGAUUUGGGGCCACAAAAGUAGUAAGGAAAAGGAAGAAACAAACGAAGAUAAGGACAUUUUUGCUCGUUAGUACUCGCUGAUCCGUGCUGAAGAGAAAGACAUGAGACUGGACAGAGAAGCGCUGCUCUACGUUGUGAACACACCCAUCAGUUCAUGCACAUAAAGGGCACCAUCCUCGAGCAAAAUCAACUGAAAAAAUUGACGUCAAAAAGAGAGGAGUAUAUCUUCUAAACUCAAAUUAUAGCUACAACAAA